UCCGGGGCCCCUGCUCCCAGCUACCUCUGGAUCAGAUCAAGGAAGUUUUGUGGUGACGGGGCUGAGCCUCUCCUUGCGUUGGAGCAGCCUGAUUAAGUUUCUGGAAACCGGCAAGAAGCGCAAGGGAGUUUCUGGGAGAUGUUAUUAGAGUGAAUGGACUGUUUUCCUUAGCAACCCCAGGGAGCCGGGUCACAUGCUUGUUACUGGCAUUAAGGACAGGGAGCAAGCUUGCAGAUUCCUCUGUUACUGGACAAUGAUCUAUCAAAGACAGAAUGUGUGCCAACUGGUGUCCUGGGCUCCUGGAGCCUGGUGAGGAAGAAGGCACCCAUCUUCUUGUUCUUGAACCUCUUACAUUUCAAGGGGGAGAUGGAUGAGAGGGGCAGAAAUUAAAAGCAGCGAGAGAAAAGUAACCAAGACACCAUGUCAUUACCUGAUGGUGGUAGCGUGCAUGGCCCUCAGGACUGCAGAGAUCUGGCGAGACCUCGCCGGUGGAGGAGCAGGAACACAUCUUGUCCCCAAGGUGAGGGGCAGGUGCAUCUCAGAAGAAAUGCAGAGUCUUCUCAUCGCUUUUCUGUUCAUUCCGUCCUCCACAAUUGGGCAACUGGUAUCUUUUGGAAAAUAACUGCCUGUCCACAGCGCUGCUUUCAUCGAAGCCACUUCACCAUUGCUCUAAGAUAAAAUUUGCUGUUUGCUGUCAUUGCUGCUGCAGCCACAAGAGAUGGAAGACCAGGCUCCAAUUUCCAGUGGGGUUCUGUAAAACCAGGGCUCAGCGCCUGCACCUGGGAGCUGCAGAAACCGCCAGCUUCUCACCGUCUCUGUCUCUCAUCACUUUGUCCACAGGCUUCAUACAGGGUCAGGGUCCUGUGUGCACACAGGUGGUGCUUAAUAAAUGCUUCUGUGAUCACAGAUGGUCCGGGCAGCUGCAAGCACCUCAUCUUCACACCAUGGCGUCUCCAUGGAGGAAAGUGUGUGUCUCAUUCCCAGAGCCUCAGGAAACAGCCGUGGGCAUCUUCCCAGGGUCCACUGUGUCCACAUUCUGGCCUGAUCCAGUCACCUGGGGAUGCGGCGGGUCUGCAAAGAGCAAAGCUACUUACAAGACACUUAGCGAAGGGUACAGUGGACUGUUCAGGCCGACAGUGCUAGGCUGAGGACCGCUGUGCUGGCAGUCUGUAGCGGGGGGAGAGAUUGGCUUACUUCCUGGGUGACAAGGAAAAGCGGGGUUUUACAGAGGAACAGCAGGGCAGGGUGGGAGUGGAUGCAAAAGCACCAAGAGGAAGGAAGUAUCACAGUGAGGGGGCUGCGGGCUGAGCAGACCCAGCAGGAUUCUUGCUGAAGACAAACGGGAGAUGAGAUGUCCAACCUGGGCAACCGUGGGAGCUGAGGAAUCUGCCCAGAUGUGAGGGUGGGGGAUCCUGCUAGACCAGCUGAGUAGGGUUCUUGCCAAAAUUGGGCUGUUCGGUAGCACACUCCUAUAAUCCCAGCACUCGGGAGGCUGAGGC
Chinchilla lanigera (long-tailed chinchilla) is the source of this 1499-nucleotide long non-coding RNA. RefSeq lists it as uncharacterized. NCBI's taxonomy places the organism in Eukaryota, Metazoa, Chordata, Mammalia, Rodentia, Chinchillidae. The transcript is spliced from 4 exons. The record is from RefSeq and is a predicted model, not a curated record.